ACAAAGAGCCUCCAAAAACUUUCUAGUCAUGAGUUCCAAACCAAAGCUGAGAAAGGAGUGAGUGAGGUCCUCUCUAGGUCAUUUAACAUUGUGGAGGAAGGUACAACAGAUAAGUACCUCCAGUCUGUAUCUACAUCCACCACAUCUACUGAUAUUAUACAAACCAUAGUGAAAGAUCUGCAGUCAUCUGACAUGGUAUCUGGAACCUCCCUGCUCACCACUGGACAGGUUUCUGAGAAAAGAAUCUGGUCUGUUGCUCGUAACAUCUACUACAGUCUGCAAAGUAAGAUUACGGAGUUUCUCAGAAAAGAUCUUCAAACGUCAGACACAACACUUGGUUCAAUCCAAAUAUUUACAUAUCAAAGCAGUCCUGCUUCACAAAGAGCAAGUCUCGGCCAUCUUGAGGUCAACCAGAGCAGUGUUACACCUGGUGGACUUUCCCAUUGUAAGAAACAUGAUCAUUCAGGACUUGUUUCACACAGAGAACUUACUUCCCCCAUCCUUUGUGGACAAAGUCAGGCAAGCUGCUGGGGUGGUAGUGGACGAAAUGGUGGAAAGUGUUGAGAACACACAGGAAGAUGGACAGGGUGCUUCUCAUCCUGACGACCUCCGAUCUGCUGUUAGGAAAUUGAGAAAAAUAAUUUCCACUGGGACCAUCCACAUUUUCAGUCAUGAAUUUGUGGAUAAAGUGAUAGCCCUUCAGGACAGCCACAGCACUCCACAGGUCUUAACAUUGGCAGCAGCCAGAAGUGCUUCAGACUCCAUUCUUUCAAGGCUGAAAUGGGGAAAGGAACAAUGUGACAUAUCCAGGAAGCUCUCCUCUCAGCUUCUCCAGAUAUUUUCUGAAGAGACAGUGAAGGGCUUCCUAAAACAGUGGUUAGAUGAGUAUGAAAAUAUAAACAUUGAUGUUUCAGUCCAGAAUGAACCAAGCACCUCUACUUGCAUGGUCUUUCCUAUCCAGCUCAAUCAGAGCAAGCCAGAGGAUAGUGACACAAUGAAUCAGCUCACGAAGGUCAUGGUCAACAAAAUGAUGGAUGCCUUAUCAGUUGGCUCAAGUCAUCAAAUGAUCACCAAAGCCAAUGCCAAAUGUUCUUUUGAGUCCGGUACCAGCAUGGCCACCAGUGACAUUGUAGAAGGGAUGUUGGAUUUGGUAAGGGAUAGCACCAGCAGUACUGGAGAGCAGAUCCCCAUCUUCAAGUCCAAGAAAAGCAAGAAAACCAUGUUCAGCAAGAUAUGCUUUAACAUAAAGGGUUCCAAGAAAGUUAGAAAGGACCACUGUCCUCAAAAGUCUAUGGAGUACCAGCCUCAGAACACUUCCCCUACUGUGUACUUUACAGAGUCGAGGACAAAUUCUCAUGGCUCCUUUGCUCCAGAGGGAAAUGACAUCGCAUAUUCCUUCCCACCUGAAGAGAAGAGUCGCAAACCCUCCCUUUUCACCAGAAUAUAUAGAGCCAUCACUAGAAGCUUCUCCAACCCAAGAUAAUUUUCCUCAUUAAAUGAGAUUUCAUUCAUUUGUUGUCAUAUGUUGACUGUUUUGCUAGCACAGACUGUAAUAUGUUCUGCGAUUCAUCCACAUGCAUUGAGGAGUAUACCACCUCAGUCACAGGCUACAUCAAUAAGUGGAUUGACAACGUCGCCCACAGUGACCGUAUGUACAUAUCCCCGACAGAAGCCAUGGAUUACAGGCAACAUCCACACCGCGCUAAAGGCUAGAGCUGCUUCUUUCAAGGAGCGGGACACUAAUCCAGACACUUAUAUGAAAUCCUGCUAUGCCCUCAGACUAACCAUCAAAUAGGCAAAGUGGUUGGUUAGGUCAGGGUGUGACUAGUGUGCUGUCAUCCUGUUAGAAGGUAACAGAUUAUUUUAUUACAAUGGUUAAAUUGGAUUUUCAUUGUGUUCAAUGGUGUUAUUUGCCCCCUAGUGGCGCUUUCUGGUACUUAGAAAGACGACGCAAACAGGAAGUUCAGAAUUUGUUUUGCACGCAUAGAAGCAGCUACAAACAACGCUACGGUGCAGGUCUUUCAAUGUAGUUAUUUCUUGUCACGCUUCAGCCUUGGAAAAAUAUUUGUUUUUUCACAACAUAAACGUUUUCAAUAUAUUAAUUCAAGAAAAGUCACGCCUUGGGAGUUUUAUUGAAGACUUAGUUGUUAGCUAUCUGUCUAGU
Molecule: long non-coding RNA, 2164 nt
Organism: Oncorhynchus nerka (sockeye salmon)
Lineage: Eukaryota; Metazoa; Chordata; Actinopteri; Salmoniformes; Salmonidae
Exons: 4
Source: RefSeq, a predicted model, not a curated record